Molecule: ribosomal RNA, 253 nt
Filed under: uncultured bacterium
Lineage: Bacteria
Description: partial 16S ribosomal RNA
Rfam family: Bacterial small subunit ribosomal RNA
Source: RNAcentral
UCCGUAGGGAGCAAGCGUUGUCCGGAAUCAUUGGGCGUAAAGCGCGCGUAGGUGGCCUCAUAAGUCCGCUGUGAAAGUCAAAGGCUCAACCUUUGAAAGCCGGUGGAUACUGUGGGGCUAGAGUACGGAAGAGGCGAGUGGAAUUCCUGGUGUAGCGGUGGAAUGCGCAGAUAUCGGGAGGAACACCGGUGGCGAAGGCGGCGACCUGGGUCGAUACUGACGCUGAGGUGCGAAAGCGUGGGGAGCAAACAGG